GACGAACGCUGGCGGCGUGCUUAACACAUGCAAGUUGAACGAUGAAGCUGGAGCUUGCUCUGGCGGAUUAGUGGCGAACGGGUGAGUAACACGUGAGAAAUCUGCCCUUGACUCUGGGAUAACUGCGGGAAACUGUAGCUAAUACCGGAUACUUUCCCUGGUGGGCAUCCACUGGGGAAGAAAGAAUUUCGGUCAAGGAUGAUCUCGCGGCCUAUCAGCUUGUUGGUGAGGUAAUGGCUCACCAAGGCGACGACGGGUAGCCGGCCUGAGAGGGUGACCGGCCACACUGGGACUGAGACACGGCCCAGACUCCUACGGGAGGCAGCAGUGGGGAAUAUUGCACAAUGGGCGCAAGCCUGAUGCAGCAACGCUGCGUGAGGGAUGAAGGCCUUCGGGUUGUAAACCUCUUUUAGCAGGGAAGAAGCGAAAGUGACGGUACCUGCAGAAAAAGCACCGGCUAACUACGUGCCAGCCGCCGCAGUAA
RNAcentral lists this ribosomal RNA (484 nucleotides) under uncultured bacterium. Its description in RNAcentral is "partial 16S ribosomal RNA". It matches the Rfam family "Bacterial small subunit ribosomal RNA", at positions 28 to 523 of the family's 1533-position model. The record is from RNAcentral.